RNAcentral lists this ribosomal RNA (237 nucleotides) under uncultured bacterium. Its description in RNAcentral is "partial 16S ribosomal RNA". It matches the Rfam family "Bacterial small subunit ribosomal RNA", at positions 99 to 334 of the family's 1533-position model. The record is from RNAcentral.
CGAACGGGUGAGUAACGCGUGAGGAACCUGCCUCAAAGAGGGGGACAACAGUUGGAAACGACUGCUAAUACCGCAUGAGCCCACGGGUCGGCAUCGACCUGAGGGAAAAGGAGCAAUCCGCUUUGAGAUGGCCUCGCGUCCGAUUAGCUAGUUGGUGAGGUAACGGCCCACCAAGGCGACGAUCGGUAGCCGGACUGAGAGGUUGAACGGCCACAUUGGGACUGAGACACGGCCCAG